AAACCGCCUAGAGGUAAACGGGUGGAUCCGCAAAGUCGGCCCGCGGAAUUCAGCUCGGAAGGGGUGCGCUCAGUCGGUGGGUCGGGGAUCUUAUCGACCCUCCCGCCGUGGGACGCGCCUCGGCCGUGUGCACUUUCCGCGGGCAGAGCGCCACGACCGGUUCUCGGGCGGUCAUAAGGCGGCGGGGAUGGUAGGCGGGCGCUUCGGCGUCCGCUGGUAUAGCCCCGUCUGUCCCGAUCCGCUCGGGGACCGAGGAGCUGCCGUCGGCGUAGGCCGCCUCGCCCUCGCGGGAUGUUCGACUGGCUGAGACUGGGCAACCGUGUCUGCCGACCGCUUCUCGUUGAUGGAUGGGGUGGGCCCGCCGGCACAGGGUCAGUGGCGAAUCGGUCGGCCCUCCACCCGACCCGUCUUGAA
This 414-nucleotide ribosomal RNA is filed under the name Grandicrepidula grandis. RNAcentral's name for it is "Crepidula grandis partial 28S ribosomal RNA". The record is from RNAcentral. Lineage: Eukaryota; Metazoa; Mollusca; Gastropoda; Littorinimorpha; Calyptraeidae.